This 1364-nucleotide ribosomal RNA is filed under the name uncultured bacterium. RNAcentral describes it as "bacterial SSU rRNA". It matches the Rfam family "Bacterial small subunit ribosomal RNA", at positions 28 to 1387 of the family's 1533-position model. The record is from RNAcentral.
GAUGAACGCUAGCUACAGGCUUAACACAUGCAAGUCGAGGGGCAGCAUGGUUUUAGCUUGCUAAGACUGAUGGCGACCGGCGCACGGGUGAGUAACACGUAUCCAACCUGCCGUCUACUCUUGGACAGCCUUCUGAAAGGAAGAUUAAUACAAGAUGGCAUCAUGACUCCGCAUGUUCACAUGAUUAAAGGUAUUCCGGUAGACGAUGGGGAUGCGUUCCAUUAGAUAGUAGGCGGGGUAACGGCCCACCUAGUCUUCGAUGGAUAGGGGUUCUGAGAGGAAGGUGCCCCACAUUGGAACUGAGACACGGUCCAAACUCCUACGGGAGGCAGCAGUGAGGAAUAUUGGUCAAUGGGCGAGAGCCUGAACCAGCCAAGUAGCGUGAAGGAUGACUGCCCUAUGGGUUGUAAACUUCUUUUAUAAAGGAAUAAAGUCGGGUAUGGAUACCCGUUUGCAUGUACUUUAUGAAUAAGGAUCGGCUAACUCCGUGCCAGCAGCCGCGGUAAUACGGAGGAUCCGAGCGUUAUCCGGAUUUAUUGGGUUUAAAGGGAGCGUAGAUGGAUGUUUAAGUCAGUUGUGAAAGUUUGCGGCUCAACCGUAAAAUUGCAGUUGAUACUGGAUAUCUUGAGUGCAGUUGAGGCAGGCGGAAUUCGUGGUGUAGCGGUGAAAUGCUUAGAUAUCACGAAGAACUCCGAUUGCGAAGGCAGCCUGCUAAGCUGCAACUGACAUUGAGGCUCGAAAGUGUGGGUAUCAAACAGGAUUAGAUACCCUGGUAGUCCACACGGUAAACGAUGAAUACUCGCUGUUUGCGAUAUACAGCAAGCGGCCAAGCGAAAGCGUUAAGUAUUCCACCUGGGGAGUACGCCGGCAACGGUGAAACUCAAAGGAAUUGACGGGGGCCCGCACAAGCGGAGGAACAUGUGGUUUAAUUCGAUGAUACGCGAGGAACCUUACCCGGGCUUAAAUUGCAGAUGAAUUACGGUGAAAGCCGUAAGCCGCAAGGCAUCUGUGAAGGUGCUGCAUGGUUGUCGUCAGCUCGUGCCGUGAGGUGUCGGCUUAAGUGCCAUAACGAGCGCAACCCUUGUUGUCAGUUACUAACAGGUCAUGCUGAGGACUCUGACAAGACUGCCAUCGUAAGAUGUGAGGAAGGUGGGGAUGACGUCAAAUCAGCACGGCCCUUACGUCCGGGGCUACACACGUGUUACAAUGGGGGGUACAGAGGGCCGCUACCACGCGAGUGGAUGCCAAUCCCAAAAACCUCUCUCAGUUCGGACUGGAGUCUGCAACCCGACUCCACGAAGCUGGAUUCGCUAGUAAUCGCGCAUCAGCCACGGCGCGGUGAAUACGUUCCCGGGCCUUGCACA